AACGAACGCUGGCGGCAUGCCUAACACAUGCAAGUCGAACGAGAUCUUCGGGUCUAGCGGCGCACGGGUGUGUAACGCGUGGGAAUCUGCCCUUUGGUUCGGAAUAACAGUUGGAAACGACUGCUAAUACCGGAUGAUGACGAAAGUCCAAAGAUUUAUCGCCAGAGGAUGAGCCCGCGUAGGAUUAGCUAGUUGGUGUGGUAAAGGCGCACCAAGGCGGCGAUCCUUAGCUGGUCUGAGAGGAUGAUCAGCCACACUGGGACUGAGACACGGCCCAGACUCCUACGGGAGGCAGCAGUGGGGAAUAUUGGACAAUGGGCGAAAGCCUGAUCCAGCAAUGCCGCGUGAGUGAUGAAGGCCUUAGGGUUGUAAAGCUCUUUUACCCGGGAUGAUAAUGACAGUACCGGGAGAAUAAGCUCCGGCUAACUCCGUGCCAGCCGCCGCAGUAA
This 449-nucleotide ribosomal RNA is filed under the name uncultured bacterium. RNAcentral's name for it is "partial 16S ribosomal RNA". It matches the Rfam family "Bacterial small subunit ribosomal RNA", at positions 29 to 523 of the family's 1533-position model. The record is from RNAcentral.